This 18759-nucleotide long non-coding RNA is filed under the name Triticum aestivum (bread wheat). RNAcentral's name for it is "long non-coding RNA (TAES_LNC007911)". Lineage: Eukaryota; Viridiplantae; Streptophyta; Magnoliopsida; Poales; Poaceae. The record is from RNAcentral.
UAUAUCCAUGUCGAUCUCACUUGCAUCUGUAAUGCUGCAAGUGGACGAUGGCUCCCCAACUUUCGGCUCGCUCCCCACGCUUCUCUCCCACCCAGGAUUUUGGUUACCGCUCGAAAUUUCGAGAUUUACCAUGGUUACUGCAUAUUUCUGCCCCCUCGGUAAAUGGGCAUUUCCAGCAUUUUUCUUUUGAGUUUUUGAAUUUUUUUUAAUUCAAACGCUCAAUGUAUAGUAAAGUGUGGCAGCACCUCACAGCAUGCGUGUAGACAUGUUCCACUGAGCUAAUAGCUCUUUAAUGAUAAAUAUAAGUUCAAGUGCUAUCUAUAUCUAUUUUGCAAGAAUUUGAAUUCAAAAUUCAAUUAUAAAUUUCGUGGUAACCGUGGUAACCAUGUUUACCGGUCCUCCUCGGUAAAAAUGCCCCAUUCAGUAACCAAAACGUUGCUCCCACCCACCCCCGCGUGUCGGCUGCUCGCUCCGACGGCCGGCGGACACCCUCCCGUCCGUCGGCUGCUCGACGGCCGGCGGUCACCCUUCCACAGCCCCAUCUGACGACCGACGACGAGCUUCGGAAUGUCUUGCUGUACAGCAACCCAUGGCAGCGGCCACCGCCUUUUGUUGCCAGGUAGCAGCGGUGGCUGCCAUUCUAAGGCUCGACCUCCACUCCGAUCAGCAGUUGAAUGAUGUCCGGCUCCGGUUGUAGACAAUCGGUGGUUCAGUAGUUGGUGAGCCUUCAGCCCGUGCUCGGAAAAUAGAUUCUUUUUCAUUAAGCAGCACUAUUUAUAUACUUGGUUCAAUGCAUUGAGCAAAGAAAAGGUGGAGGGCAUUUCAUUUAACCUCAUUUUUAAAGAAAAAGAACUUUACCAUCCAAUUGGACCAUUUUUUUUGCAAUGUUUGACAAGAAUCUAGUUACAAUUUCAUGUGCUUUUUACUUUGACUUGAUUGUAUUUUUUCUAUUCCUUAAAAAAGAGAGUCAAAAUGAGUGUGUUGAACCGCCUCUGUCUCCCAAACUCGUAGGUAGUGCCAUAUCUAGUAAUUUUGCUCAAGGUGGUGCAAUCCUCGAUACAAACGAUUCCCACAAAAAUAAUAUGCCAACAUACGAGUGUAGAAUUCAUCACAAGCAUAGAACAUUUACUGGAUUUAUUGCAUGGGUAGCAUGAUUGAUUGUCGAAACCCUCCUCUUACAUGUAACAGGUGAGGCAAAUGACAAGACACUUCAGAGAAAACACAUUAUGAAGAUAGGAGGGGAUUGACCACAUGACCGAUGAAUAGAACCACACCAGAAGUGUCUUCCAGGAUAAGGAAGAGGAAAGGGUGAUCCGCGAUGAAAUCCAAGACCGAGGGCGGCGGUGCUUGUCGCAGGACUACUUUAGCAAUAGUUGUUGCUGCAGCCUCAGUUCCUGUUUCGUUCACUUCGACAAAUGCUUUGUGGAAAAUGGAUGAGAUGUAGAGGUUCUAUGCCAUUGGGGAAUCCACCAUCUUUGAAAGAUCUGCUUCAGCACCGAAUGGUAGUUGUAGACCUAAACCUUUGAGCAAAUCAGAUGCCUCUAUUCCCAAGGAUAUCUUGAACUUGGGGAGCUUGAAUUGCCUGAGUGCAACCUUCUGCCUUGGGAUAUGUUGUUCCAGCAACUCUGGUUCGGCACUCAACUUUUCUGCCAAGCUCCAGAUACCACUUGGUGCUUCUGGAAGAAGGAUGUACAUGGAGAACUGCCUCUUGUCCCCACCUUGCUUGUAAGGAAGCUUAAGUACUUUCAAGCCAUCAGAAGAAGAAACAUAUUGUUCUCCUGAGCUGUACAUGAAUGGUGUUUGAAUUGAGCUCCCAUCAAGAAGGUAGAAGUAGUCGCUUUCUGUUCCACGUGGAUCAAACUGAUCUGUCCAAGCUCCUUUGAAAUAAAGGGCAUUGCCAAGAACAAGUCUAGUGGUAUUGCUAAUAGAUCCUGCGGGGAGAAUAUCUUUGAUGAGACCGGUUGUGACUUUCUCUACCCAUGAGUUCACUUGAGCAGUAACUUCUGCGGCCUAGAUCAAGUCAAAAUAAAAGAAAGGUCAAUUAUGUUAUAAGAAUACAUUGAAAAGUACUAUUGUGUCACCAAUGUUUUAAAAAAAUCUUCUCAAUGUAUAAAAUAUUAUACUUGUGCUGAGAAUACAAAGCAGAAUACUAAGGUUUUUGCAAGACAUUUGUAUAUGUAGUAAGGUUUCACACACAUAGUAAAAUCAUCACAUACAAGCACGGUGAUAGAAAAAAAGCAUAUGUGCAUACGAAAAUGAUUAAAUGGUCAUCACAACAUCUCGAAGCAAUAUUAUGCAAUACCUAUGGGAGUUCAGCACAUAGAGAUUGGUUAUACAUAUUCCUAUACGUAUGCUACUGUAGAGUACAACAAGCAACAUGCCAGCACAACGAUGAAUGUUACCAAAGUAUGGUAAAUUUGUGUAACCAAUAACUACAAUUCAAUAAUUAAGUUGGACAAAAAUGAGAAGGGAUUAAUAAGUACUCCAUGCAUAUUGCAAGUUUGAGCUAGACAAAAAUAAAUUGUACAAGCAGCCUGAACGGUUUAAAAGUAGGAUAUAUUAAGUUGAAUCUAUUUUAUUUUACCAACCAACCCAAAUACUAUAUGUAUGUACCUAUAGAAAGCAGGAAAUUGUUCUAAAACAUCUAGUCACUACCAGAAAACAGACUUUUCCCCACGGCUAAGAACCCAUAGGAAAAAGCCAAAUCCCGUCAGGAAAAUAUUUCCUGACGGUUACCCGACAGGAAAAUUUCGCCAGGAAUAAAACGACAGGGAAAUCUUUUAAUGCCUGAUGGCCAGCCGACAGGAAUUAUUUUCCUGACGGUUAUUCCUGUCGACUACCCUCAGGAAAAUCUUGAUGCCGUCAGGUUUAUAGGUAGACUUAUUGUGACGGCCAGCCUACAGCGAAAAUGGCACGCAGGAAAAUGAAUUAUGUUGAGCAUGUAUUUUUCUUUCUUUAGGAUCAAUGUUGAGCAUGUAUCUGACAAAUCCAUAUCCUUCUAUAGUUACAAAUUUAUUAGCACAUAUCAAUGGUCCACGUAUGAUCCCAUUAAGUGAAAAUCCACAUCAUAUCUUCGUACAAGCAUCCAAAACCAGUAUAUACAUAGCACGUAUCCAUGCAUGAUUGAACAUCUGGUAGAUGACAUCUGAAAAUUUUAAUUGCUGUUGUUUUAUUUGCUCAACAACAGUAACAUGUCAGUUGUACGCAUACAUGCCACCGCCACCCAAAACAAUAAGACUCAUGUUUCUAAGUCCACUGGUUCAUGAUCUGGAGCAUCAUCUACACCUUCAUAAGUUUCUAAGUCACCUUAGGCUAUCACCAUGUUCUCAACAUCAUUGUUGCCUUUGCUGUUGCCAUUGCCGACGUGGUCGCCCAUAGCACCAUCCUCCAAGCUAACAGAGGAUAACUCGGUGUUCCCUGCAAAGUCAUGUACACAAGUAACGGGAAUAAUAUUGGAAAGAGAAGGAGAUGAUGACCAACAUCUUUCACCAUAUGAGUUGUUAUCCGCUUAACUCUUUCAAGUUUCAUCUUUUAGCAUAUCUAUACAAUAUAUCCUACAGCCCCAUGAAACAUAUAUUUUAUAUUUUAAAGUGGCUCCAAAAGAUAAUCUGGUCCACUUGAUGAUAAUUUAGCUAAUCAAGGACUAAAAAAGGAUGUUCAUUUAGUUUUUCUUUGUAAAUCUUAGAUAUGGCAUAUGGCAGCAAUGCAACCAUUAGAUGUUAUACUACCAUCUUGGUGCUUUAUAAAAUAAUGGAUAGGAUUAAACAAUACUCACUGGUAGCUUCAUGUUCGACCUUGUGCCCACUAGGACGACAUUCUUAACGAGGUCCUGCCCUUUUUGCCCUGAUGAAAAAUGUGCAAUCUCAAGAUUCCAAUCAAGAAUAGAUGAUUUUGUUCAGAACAAGACUAAAGAUUUCUGGAAAAGCAGAGUAUACUUGUAGCCAGCGGAAUAACAGUUUAUCUAAAAAGAUGACCAAGAAGGCAAGAACUUAAGAGAUUGCAUAAUCCCCUAAUUUUAGAUAUAUAGUAAAUUCAGCUUCAUCUAAACUAACAUGAUGGGUGAAGAUUGUAAUUCAAGGAAGUAAAAUAAAUUAAUGGGGUUAGGUAGAAGUUGGGCAAACAAUGGCUCCAGAUUCAAUGCACAAGAGCCAAAGACUGGACAAGAAGACCUGAACUAAAUCAUGCCCUCAAAGAAGAUCCAGCAUGCCAUACACCCUUGAGUAACUGAGGAAUAUGACUGCCAGUCUAGAUACAUGAUGGAAGUAACACACAAAUCAGAUAGAUAUGCAUGUGCAUUAAUUACCUCAUGUUGCUGACCUGCGAGAACUUCAUAAAGAAGAGGUAUGCACUCCUCAUAGUCUUCAGCAUCCAUGGGCUUGCACCUGAACCAAAACACACACACACACGCGCGUAAAACAGAGCACGGACACGCACUGACUCACUCUUCGAAUAGGGCAUAUGCGAACAGGUGCCGAGCUCAAGGGAUGACAUGUUCCAAACAACAAGGUACCUGCGACCAAAUAUGUGUUCAGGAGAAGAUUAGAGGAAUGGAUUAGUGGCGCUGUGCAUAUGAGGAGAGACUGAGUUAGCAUCAGGGAUAGAUGGUGUAUAGUCUCAAAACAAUUUACACUACCUCAUCAUAAAUAAGUAAUUUGCCAAAUAAAUAAGGACAGCAACAAAUAAUAAGGUAACAAUUUGGGAGAUAAUUGCCACAUAAAAGCAAGUAUGUAUAUUUCCAAAGUGUGAGAGGUACCUGAGACAGGUUUUGCCUUGCCCUUCCUUCCACUACAAAGACUUCUAAAGAUGAGAAACAAAACCUAAAAGAGAGUGGCACAACUAUGCAAAUAAUUACUUACAUUGCUAACUAAAAUAUGACUAACUUGCUUCUAAAAUUGAACGUUUACUGCCAAAAUUAUUUGUGAAGGGAGGCGAUAUAUAGAAGUUGUACCAGUGUGGCUGCAGCUUCAACAAAGGAUCCUUGAUAUGGCAGAUUCAAGCUACAAGAAAUCAAGCAUGAAAAAAGAGUAAAUAUUUGACAUCUGAUUUCAAGACAUUAUACUACAAUUUGCUCAUAAAGUUUUUCAAAUGUACAUAAAUACAUAAAUACCACUGAGAAAGCAGCUAUAGGCCUCAUCUUUAUAUGCGGUACAUAUUCUAAAAGUACAUAUCUAGCAAUGAUACAAGAAGCUUUUCAGUUUCUCAAUUAUAUUAGCUAACAUCAGUGCUAAUAACACAACCAAUUGUAGGUCCUAAAAUUUUGAGAUAUGUGAGAGAACAAAACUCUUUCUAGCAAAUUGAAAAUUGAACAAAUCAACAUACUGAAAACAGAUGCAAAGGGACCCUUAUUUUCCCACUCACAAGCCUACUCUUUUCACCAAUGAGCCAGCAAAAGAAGGAAAUCAAGAUCCGGAUGCCCUCAGAUCUAGAUUCUACAUAAAUUGUAUGAACAACUAAAGAUCCUGACUUCGUUAUUUGGAUGACCAUGGUUGGACUUACCACAGAAAAAUGGAUCAACUGGCUUGGACAAAACGGAGAGGAGGAGGCCGCUGCUGUCACGUCAGACGAGGAGGAGCAGGAGUUUACUGGAUGUGCAACAACAGACUUACCCAGAUCUGGAGCAGGGAGCACGGGGUACAAUCAUCGCGUCCAGGGAAGCCGUGUUGGGCGGAGUGGUCCGACGAAGGUGGGAUGCAGCAAGGGUCGGAGCUGCAGGCAAGCGACGGCGGAAGUCACAGACAUUAAAGGUGGGCGUCGGUGGCGGAUGCAGGUUGACCCGGGCGGCGGUGGUGGAGGUGAGAGACGACCAGUAGUGGAGGUCGGGAGAGUGGAGGGCGAGCGGUGCCGGAACGAUUUAGGGCGAGUGGCGCCGGCCAGGAAGUUUGAGGAGGGCGGCGGCCAUGGAGCAGAUGUGAGAUGGAGAGAUGGGACGAAGUGGGGAAUUGGUGGUCUAGGGAUUCUAUUCAUCUGGAUGGGCCUUUUUUCCUGUAGGCCCAUACACACAGGAAAAUCGGCGGAAGUUUCAUUUGAGGCGCCAAAGCGAAAAAAACGCAGGAGGUAAGAAUUUCCGGCGCCAGAGCCCGUUUCGCGGUGGUGAAAUGGCGGGCUGGGCCUCAAAUAUUUUUCCUGUGGGCUGGACUCUCAGGAAAAUAGUCAAUUUUCCUGGGAGCCAAAUUUAGCCCGUUAGGAAAAUUUAUAUUCCUGUGAUGGGCUUCGGGCCUCACAGGAAAAUUCGUCACCUGCAGGAAAAGUACAGUUUCUGGUAGUGAGUGUUAAAAACAGUGGUAUAGAAAUACCCACUAAAUUUCAAUGGAAAAGGACUAUAACAAAUUUUGGAGGCUUAAUUAGUUAAAUGUAACACAGUACCUCUAUGUUACAUCAGCACAAAACAAGGACUUUGAGAGAAACAAUGGCAUGCCAUACUCCAGCCUCAAAAUAAUUAUGACAUAGAUAACAGACAAAUUCUUUUACUCUGUAUUUGUUUACCGGUAAAAACCUUGCCGUCAUUUUGAGAAGGAGCAAGACAAGGAAGGGGGAUCACCUUAGUUUGGAAGUCUACGGACUGGGCCUCGGCCUUGUACUUGCACAGUGCGAGCUCCUGGAAGGAUGGCUUGAGCUGCAGCGACGCGUCCACGAAUACGCCGUUGGCGAAGGCGACGCGUGGGCUGCCGAUGUUAGACGCGUUGGCGAGGACGAACUGCACCACCUGCUCAGCGAGUGUGUGGAGUCCCUCAACCUCGCCUUCUCCCAGUGUCGUGGCAAGUUGGUUGCGGGUGGCGCCCCCCGCGCCAGCGGUGAUGAGGCUGAGCGCCACGUGGAGGGAGACCGGAGAGAAUGCGGCAUUGUUGACAGUAGACUUGGGGUUGGAUGAGAUAGCGGAGGCGAGGCGGAAGACGAAGCGGGUCUGGUGCGCAAUGGAGAGGCGAACAUCAGUGGCGAGGGUGGUUGCCAUGGCUGGGGUGGAGGUUCGUUGGGCUUUUGUUAGAGUUGAGAGAAAGAUGGAUGACUGGGAAGUGCUGUUUUCAUCGGUGAUUUGUGGCUAUUUAACGGGAGGCACAAGCCCUGAGAUAUGCAAAGGUUCGAAGCAUCUGCGCCAUAAAGCAAGAUAAGUGGUUUGUUGUCUCUUGUUUAAUUAGUCAUCGUUGUGUCAUUUCGUAUAUAUGUUAGAAACCUGAACUUAUCCUAUCUCGAGUUAGCGUGGUGCUUCCUGUCUGAUCUUCCCGUACCUCUGAGUUCUGUAGAACAUCGGAUUUGUGGGAGACCACUACAAGCCUCGUAACCUUUUAACUGAUCGUCUUAAAAGCAUUGUUUGUUUUAUUAAAAUCACACAACUGAUUAGCAAUUCUGAAUUCCAAGCUUGAGAUAGUGGCGCCAACCUGUAAAGUUGUAACUAGUAAAGAAGACGUUCAUGGCAUUGCAUAAUUAGGAUUUGCAUCACACAACUGGUUAGUAGUACUAAAUUCCAAGCUUGAGAUAGCUAUACCUGUGUGUAAAGUCCUAACUAGAAAAGAGGAUUUGCACAAUAUUGCAUGACGAAGCCUUAUUGGGAUUUGCAUCACUUGCCGUGGGGUGUGGGCUUAACUUGUCGUCAAAUUAAUAUGUUCUUUUCAUCACACUGUGACAUAUCCAACGCUACCCCUGGAAGAUGACAAAACUGAUAAUAUGUGCUUUUCAUCACUUUGGCUAGUUCCCCUAGAACAUCUGGUUUAUGUGGAUUUUGCUACACAUCUCAUGACCUUUUUGUUGUUUAAUUUAGAAGCAUGCUAUUUUCUUAAGACCAGACUACUGAUUAGUAGUACUAAAUCCAAGCUUCGGAUUCCGAUGCUAGCUAACGCGUAAAGUUUAACUUGUAAAGAAGAUUUGCAUGAUAUUGCACCAUAUAACAAAAUUGGGUUUUGCAUCAUUUUGUUGUGGGCGUGGGCUUAGUUUGUGGUUAAAUUAAAGAGUUAUGAUCCAAAGCAGAGCAAGAUUCCAUUCCUCAAAAACACCUAAAUAAUGGCACCACGUCAUUCAACGCUACCCAUGCAUUUGCAUAAUACCACUACAAUUGGAGUUUAGGGGUGUGGACUUAACUUGUGGCCAAAUUUAAUCGUAUGAUCCGACGACGGCAGCGCUGGGGAGGUGGACACGGGCACGUCUACCUGUCGCCUGUAGCGAGCCCGAAGUUUGUGUCGCCUUAGUUGCUUGUAUAUUGGGCCGGCCCAAUAAACACUUCCGUUCCUGCACCAACCAAUUUGCUAUAAAGUCGCUCAACAUAUGUAGCUUCAUGUGACAGAAUUUAGUUACAAAAUUAGGCAACAAAUAUUUAUGUGAUAUAAAUACACCACAUAUAUAAAAAUAGAUUUCCAUGUAUUCUUUUAAUCCAUGAGUGUGAAAUAUAUUUUCAAAGAUUAUCUUACUUAAAUUUUAGAAAAUGUUCAUUGUGCCUUCAAAAAAAUGUGAAUGCACUGUAAUAUAGAUUUCUAUGUAUUUUUAUAAAUUACGUUAAUAUAUUGCAUCCUUUGUUAAUUAUGUUAAUAUAUUUCAAACAUUAUGUUAAUUAUUACUUUUAAAUGUUCACCGCGCCUUCAAAAAAUGUUAAUGCUUUAAAAAGAAUCAUGCAAUUUAUAUUAAAAAAUUGUAACUUUAGAAAACAUUCCUUGUAUUUAAAAAAUAUUCGCAAGUUUAAAAUUUUGAUCAUAACAAUUUCCAAACUGUUCAUAUAUUUUUUAGAAAUAUUGCAUCAUUUGUAAAAAAAAAAGUUCUUAUCAGUCAGAAAAAUCAUGACAUUAAAAAAUGUUCAUGUGUUUUAUAAACAUGUUUCAUGACAUUUUAGAAAAUUGUUCUUGCAAUUAUAAAGAGAAAAUUCAUAACAUAUAAAAAGAUGUUCGUGACAUUUUCCCAAAAUAUUCUAGCACUUUAACAGAUAUCUACACGUUUUAAACAAUAUUCAUGUCAUUUAAAAAUAUAUUCAACGUGUGUUUAAAAAAGCUCACUUUAUAUUUACAAAAUGACAAUGUGCAUUUUUACUAAUAUCCAGCAUGUAUUUAAAAAAUGUUCAACAGGUAUCUUAAACAGGUUUGAUUUGUAUGGCAAAGAAAAUUCAUUUUACUAAAAUCAAAUCAAUAUAUAUUGAAAAAGGAAAAAUAAAAGGAAAAGGGAAAAUGAAAAAUAAAAAAUAAAAAAAUUAAGAAUAAUCGAUAAAAAAGCACAGAGAAAAGAAGAGGUACAACACCGUGUUUUUACUGGCACGGCGUUCUGACCCAGUUAAGUCUCUGGUUGGUGGGCCUACGCCCGACUUGAUCGGUUCUUUGAAAACGAAACCUCUGCUGAAAAGCAUAAAAAAAACAUCCCUAAAAGAAAUUAUAAGAAAGCUCGUUCGGUUUUCCGGAGCAGUUUUUUGGGCGAGAUGACCUGCGGCGGCCUCCCCAUCUCGCCGGCGCCGGCGCCGAUGCCGACGGUGGCGGCCCCGCUGGAGGACGAGAACCUCCUGCCGGAGAUCCUCGUCCGCCUAGCCCCGCUGCCGUCCGCCCUCCCGCGCGCCUCCCUCGUCUGCAAGCGCUGGCGCCGCCUCGUCUCCGACCGCCGCUUCGUCCGCCGCUUCCGCGCCCACCACCUCCGCAGCCCCCCUCCCCUGAUCGGAUUCUUCGAGGAGGUCACCCGCGAACCCUCCCCGGACUCCCCCAGCAGCCUCUUCUUCACCCCUAUCCUGGAUCCCCCCAACCGCGUCCCGGUCAGCCGCUUCUCCUUGAGCUUCCGCAACGGCGACGGCCGCACGAUCCUCGGCUGCCGCGACGGCCUCGUGCUCCUCGUCGACGCGGGGGGUGCCGAGAUCGAGGUCCUGGUGUGGGACCCCGUCACCGGCGACCAGCACCGCUUCGUCGUCCCUCCGGUGAUCGACGAGCGCCAGGUCGUCGAGAUCUUAAACGGGGCGGUUCUCCGCACCGCCGGGAUCCUCGACGACCGCCCAUUCCGGUUCCAGGUGGUCUUGGCAGGCAUCGACAGGCCAAACAAGCGGCUGUUCGCCUGCGUUUACUCGUCGGAGGCCGGCAAAUGGGGCGAUCCCAUCUGGGUAUCCGUGGAUUCUGAGAGCAACGUUCGCACCACGGUUUCAAUGCGUGUUUCCAGCACCCUGGUUGGGAAUUCCCUCUACUGGUCGCUGAAUGGGGAUACUGCUGCCGUCCUUCAGUUUGAUUUGGGCACACAACGCCUGGCUGUGAUACCGCUGCCACUGGAUAAGUGCAGCGACGGCAGCCGCUCCUUCCGGGCUAUGCCGGUGGACGGUGGCGGGCUUGGCAUCCUUGAGCUGUUGGAUUUCAACAUCCAGUUGUGGAAAAGGGAGAUCGACCGUGCCGGUGUUGUUUCGUGGGUGCUGGGGAAAACUAUUGAAUUGGAUCAGCUUCUUUGCCUGGACAAGAGGGGAAUGAGUCCAAUGAUGCUGGGGUAUUGCGAGGUCAAUAAUGUGGUGUUUCUGAGGACAGUAUUCAGUAUUUUCUUGGUCCAGCUUGAGUCAUUGAAGUUCAGCAAGCUACCCAUACAGGCAUCUUACUUCUUGGUUCAUCCAUUCACAAGUGUUUAUACUGCAGGUAAUAACCAAGUACUUUUCUACAAUUGAUCGAUGGAAAGCUUUUCACAUCCUUGGUGUUAGACUAAUAAUAAUAUAAAUUAAACAUGUGUCAACAGUUCCUUUUGCCGCUAAAUGUGCUAUUGAACAAACUGCCAUGCUGCUUAUGAUAUUAUUUUUAUGAUUUUCAAACUCUGGGAUUGAAGUCAGAGGUAGCGAGCAUCUUAUGUAAGUUUAUUAGAUGAAGAAAAAUAUAGAUUAAAACCAUUAAUGUAAAGAUAAAACAAAGCUAAAUUUCACUGCUACCUUUCUAUUGUGUUAUGCAAAAGACGUAUAAUGCCAGUGAUUGUGUUUCCCGCCUUGAGAUGGAAAACAGCUGGAAAUUCGAAAGCUGAAAUGUCCAAAUGGUGGCUCAAUAUAGAUUUAAAGGCUUAAAACUAGUUACAUCCUUUGACCCAAUGUUUAUUUAUUUUAAUCUUGCUAACUUAAAUCCAUAAUAAAGGCUUGAUUUGAUAAUAUUUCAUUUUUACCACUUGUUGAAGACUGGCAAGUGUCAGAGUCUACUUGUACCAGAGGAUAAAUAAAUUGAGUUUGUUUUAUCUUUUCAAGCUAAAGUUAUUCAAAUAUGAAUUGUCAUUAUUUCUUUGUUCUUAAAAUUUAUUGGUUUGAAUAUAUUAUAUUUUAUCUACUUCAGAUAACACGGGAAUAACUUUAGAUCACUUCUUCGUUCUGAUCAGCUAAUAUUAUGUGCAUGCCAUUCCAUUUUAGGAGAUUACUGAGUGUAUAUACCAUUCUCAGAAAUAUUCUAUGCAAGGCAGUAGAUGUGCUUUUGUUUAUCUAUUCCAAUGUUGAAACAUGUGUUUUUCCUCUCUCAAUUUUAGCUUAUCUAAAUAUAUCGUUGUUAUCCCAUCGUAUCUUUGGUUCUUUGGCUUAUGCUUGUAGACAUGGGCAUUGGUGGUGGACCUGAUGAAGCCAAACUUCUGUGUAAUGCAAUGCAUAAGGUGACUGUAUUGUGAUACAUUGGUUGAGCAGGUAAUGUAAGCUUAUCUUUGUAUUUUCAUUUGAGGGAUCAUAACUGGUACCUUUUGUUUUUGUUACAAAAUGCCCCCUUUACAACCAUUUGUGAAUAACCAAAUUACAAGUGAGGAUUCUCACUGUGGUUCACGCCACCUAUUGUCGAAACUUGAAAGUAGGCCGCCAUCUCUCUGCCUCCACUUUGAUCUUGGUACUCUCACCUUAGAAAGCGCCGCUGUUUGUCUUGCUCCACACAUAAAUUCCUGUGCUGGUCCUUGUACACCUGCUUCUUCCUUGAUAGCCACCACUGCUGCAUAGUGUCACGAGAUCGCAGUCUUGCUGCAAUGGCCAUUGCUCGGCCAAAUCUGGCAGAUCUGUGGGCAUCACACAGGAAAAUGCUCGGCCAUCUCCUGAUGCUGCGAUAGUAGAGGACAUGUGCCCAGAUUUUGAGGUAGUGGUGCUCGAGGCUGUUGCCUGUUGACAGCCAGCAGCGAUGCUGAAGGGCAAAUCAAAUGAAGAACCGGCAUUUCAGAGGCAACUUCGCCUUCCAGAGGACCUUUUGGCAGCUGCCAUAGCUUAAUGCUGUAGUGAGUUCUAAAAAGCAGUGUCCAUUUUGGCCCGAAGGAAGUGUCUUUAUAAUAGGAUGCAUAAUCCCUGAGGCUUCUACCACAUGGAUUUGGUUGAUCUAAACCCGUUAAUUAGUAAACGGCUAUUUCUUACAUUUCCAAAACAUGUGCCUUUGAGCCACAAGGCAGAUGCAUCUGCUUUCAACACCAUGAAGCAGAGAUUUUUUUUUUCCCUUUUGAACUUCUUCUGAUUUUGCUGCCGGUUUGAUUCUACUUUGGAGGUUUGACAUAAGUUCCACAGUGAUGACUUUGAUGUUUAUGCAAUACAAAAAUUUGUGAGGUGGUACAACUUUAAUGGCUUUUGCAUCAUCAACCGGUGGUACAAAUUUUUUAUGACCAGUGACUGUUUCGCAGGUAUGUGAGCUCUCAUUCAGUUGCUGAGCAGCUGGUGAAUGACUUCACCGGCGCAGGUUCCGUCGGUGCGGAAGUUGAUCUUCUACGGAGCAUGUUCUGGUCAACUGCGAGGAGUAGGAUUUAUUUGUCCAGUCUGGUAGCUCAUUGUGUCCCCUAAAUAUAAUUGUAGGCUUCAUCCAACUGGCAUGAUGACAAGCCGCCACUUGGCCGCACUAGUAAAUAAUCCAGCGGCUGAUUAUUGCCUCCGGUUUCAUUUUCUUUGUCUUCCGAGCAAGGCUCACGAUUUCAUCCGUUCAACUGGUUGGUAACUCAGUUCAAAAAAAAAAAAAAAAAACUGGUUGGUAACUCUGGUGCAUCCUGUGCUCUCGCUCGCCUACCUAUUUGGUACUGUUAUCCUUUUGUUUAUGCUCCGUCGUGGUUCCGCGUUGUAUGCGGUGAGGAGAUUUAAUUCUUGAAUUUCUGCUACUGGUACCAAAAUGUUGAAUUGAUUUACUUGAGAAAGAUGAAGCAUCUGCCUAAGAUACCUCGAUAGAAAAUGUCCGUACAUAUAUAAAUGAAUGGUCAUGUGUUUCAAAAAGCUCUUGUAUUUUUUUUUAAUGUUUGUGUCUACAAAAAAAAUCAUGCGUUAGAAAAUAUAUUUUUGGAAAUUAUUCAUGCAUUAGUAAGAAAUGCCUAUGUGCAAAAAAAUAAAAUUAAAAUGACGGAGAAAUUUUGGGGAAAAGGAAAAACGAAAAAAGGUGAAAAAGAAAGAAAAAUAGAAAAGAAGAAGAAGAAACAAAAUAACCUUUUUUUUGGAGCUAAGGAAACAAAAUAACCGGGCUGAAAAGAGGAUAGGCCGGCCCAUACGCGCGCGCGCGGUGCAGAAGGCCCAUCGGGCUAGGGUUAAGUAGGCCGUAUAGAGCCCUCGCCGCCAACCAUCGUCUUCCGGGACCGGCAUCUUCCGCCGCCGCCGCCGCCGCCGCAAACCGGAGAGCGAGACCGACCGCGCGCGCAGCACCGCCGCCGCCGCGAUUUUCGCUUAGUUUGUUCCUCGCCUCCGCUCCCCCUUUUACCUUAACUCCGUCCAUGGGCAUCGUCUUCCUGGCUGCAAUAGCCAGUGCUGCUGCCAUAAAAAAGAAGAGCCGCCCGCAACUGCACCUGGAAAAUUGAUGAUGUAGAAACAACGCCGUGCUUGCACUUUUUUAUUCUGUAUCUUCGUGUUAUUAUGUACUCUAUAAAGAUGCAUUCAGAAUUCUAUAUAUUUCGAGUUUCUUUUAUGCCAUGUCCAUGGUGGAAGGUUCAGCCACUGUAUUUUACUCUUUACCAUCCAUGCUGGAGCAGCCUUGCCAUGGAUGGAAGCAUUCACAGCAUAAUACUUUGGCGACGCGUGCCUCUGUUUGAAAUAUAUUGGUACACUUGUUUGUUGUUAUUAUGCAUGCUUCGUUCUGCAGUUUUUUAAGAAAUUCAGGCCAGGCAUGCUCAAAGUUACACUUGUUAUCACAGACAUGUACUAAGAUAUAAUUUCCUUGCUACCAGUACAGCUUCUUUGAUUAGUUCGUCGCCAAGAUUCAGCAGCAGCGUUCUGUGUCAUCAUCUAUCAUCUAGACGCUAAUUUAUUUUGUCUGACAUGGAUGGAUGGUUUAAAAGCAACUUGUUUCUCUUCCUUGAAAUGCUUUUUUCAGCUCUUGGACUGUCAGAUGGGCAAGAUGGUUGCCAUCAGGGUUCCCAGGAACAUGCGCGCCAAACGCGAGCUCCUCAAGCACGCACCCAAGCUUGUAAGCUUUCUCUUUUUCUCUUUGACCUUUUCUAUUUCAGCUGUUGCGAAAUUUCCUUUCCUUCAGUUUAAUUUGCAGUACCAGAAACAAACCGUCUCCGCAGAAUUAUUAUAAAUGCGGCACCCCUACAAUAAGAGUAAAUCAUCAUUAUCUUGUGUGUCCGUGGCCAAGCGAAAACUGGCAUCUUCCAGCAAUUUCCCAAAUUACUUUCAAGUAGUGUGCUGCAUCAGUGUACUUUGGAGCCGAGUUGCACGCAAAAGGCUUGGCCAGAUUUUCUGGCACAUGUGCAUAUAACCACUUGCAAAUCUUGACAUUAGUUUCUGUUGGAAGGCUCUGCUGCUUUAUAACCUUCCAUGACAAGAAACUAGAAAUAGUAUGUACGUGUUUCUUUUCAAUUCCCAUAACAGACUGUUGCUCUAAUGCUUGUUCCAGGUUGAGAAUGGCAAGAAGAUGCUUAUUCUCCAUGGUACAAAGACUAGCGCAGUUUUGAACGAUGUGCUCGCAGAUCUUUUUCACCUGAAGCGUGAUCAUGCUGUGAAGUACACCAAGAAGAACGACAACAUCAGGCCAUUUGAGAGCGGGGGUGAAACUUCCCUGGAGUUCUUCUCCCUUAAAUCUGACUGCAGCCUCUUAGUGGUAAGUUAUAUCAGUUCCCAUUGUGUAUGUGGUGAGAAUGCGACUUGUUAUUCACUUGAGAAAAAAAAAUACUAAACUGAUGAUGUUCUCAGAAGUAGAUAUAGUGAGCUAGGCAAUGACUUUCUGAGCACCAGCAUGGAAAUUAUCUGAAACCUUUUCCAUGUCUGUUAUAGUGAACCUUUUCAUUUUUCUUUGUAUAUUAAAUGUAGAGAAUAUUAUUCUCUAUUAUUUUUAACUGCAAAUAUUUAUAUUUUUGCAGUAUGGUUCUCACUCAAAGAAGAGGCCCAACAAUCUUGUUUUGGGAAGGACUUAUGAUCACCACAUAUACGACCUUGUUGAAGUAGGAGUUGAGAACUACAAAUCCAUAGAAUCUUACGCAUAUGAUAAAAAAUUGGCGCCUAAACUUGGGACAAAGCCUUUCUUUGCCUUCAUUGGGGAGCACUUUGAGAGUGUUGAUGAGCUGAAGCAUUUGAAGGAAAUGCUGCUUGAUCAUUUCAAGGGAGAGGUGUGCAUCGUUAUAGACAAGUUGGAACAUAGGACAUAGAUAAUCCCUCUAGCUUUAAUUCCGUAACUUAUUUAAUGUUGAUAUAGGUGGUAGAGAAUCUGAACCUUGCUGGUGUAGAUCGGAUAUUCGUGUGCACAGCAAUUUCCCCUACUACUGUCUACAUGAUGCACUGUGCUCUUCGUCUAAAAAGGUCAGGCACAUCUAUUCCUAGGAUGGAGCUGGUUGAAGUUGGGCCUUCAAUGGACCUGGUAGUUAGGCGGCACCAACGUCCAUCUGAAAGUUUACAGAAGGAAGCUAUGAAGGCUCCUGGUCAUGCUAAGAAGGUAAAUCCAAUGGAACAGCUGUCUUUUGUUCAUCAGAUAUUGUUAUCCUGCUGGUUAGGUUGCAAAAUGCGCCAUUAGCCAUAAACAACUAUACUUCCUGCCCUAGUUUUGACACCAAUAACUUGUAUGCCAGUAUGAACUCAGAACUACAUUUAACAUAUUUGCAGGUGAAAAAUGUGACGAAUAAUCCAGUUGACGGCAAGGAGGGCAGGAUCUACAUUCCAGACCAGGAGGUUUGUGUCUCUAAACUGUUUCACUAGCAGCUGUGAAGCUUAAAUAUAACCUAUUUGCCACACUAAUCCGAUACAUGGUUUUCUGACCGAAAGGUUUCGAAAUUGACCUUAACAAGCGACAUAAAGGGCCUGAAGCGGGAGCGCCGUGAAGCCAAGAAAAACAAGGAGCACUCGAAGAAGCAAAAGGUCAACCCUGAGUGAAUAACGCAGAAGGCUAUUCAUUCGUGGUAACUGGUCCUUUUUAAGGAUUUUUGGUGCACCUGAUGAUCGCAUCGGCUGUGUUAAGCCAACUGGUGACCAACUUGUUAGGUUGAGCUGUAAAUAGUGCGGUACCGUCUUUUUAGGCCGUAAAACCUGCCUACAGACUUCUGCAUCUGUAUUGAGGCGGCUUAUCUAUCAGACAUUAUUAGUGCGAAAUUGUUGGAGCAACGUGUGUUAGGAGUAUUUUGUUUUGCUAUUGUUGUUAGUCCUUGAUUCUAGCUGACCCGAGAUGAUUGUUGAGAUGACAUGGUUUAAGUCUGGUUACCAUGGGCAUUUUUUUUCUUCUGAAUCUGCAUAUCGUGUGCAUUUUUUGUCGUCUUUUCUUUUGUCCAUAUGUUCUUUUUAAUCCUGUAGCCCCUGUGAAUAUGCAGCUUGUCCGGUGUUUUGAUGCUUGGAUUCACGUGAGCUACAAAAAAAAGUGAAAAUCAUUUGUUUUAUACAGUACUCCCUCCGUCCCAAAAUUCUUGUCUUAGAUUUGUCUAAAUACGAAUGUAUCAAGUCACAUUUUAGUAUUAGAUAAACAAGUUCACUCUUUUAAAAUCACCAAUUUACCAUUUUUUGUGUAGCCCAUGUGUCAAUGUAUUUUUUCAUGAAAUUUUGCAUAUAUGUAGUAUACAUCCGUAUGAAAUUUUGUGUAGCUCACGUGUCAUUGUAUUCUUUAGAAUGUUUUGUUACCGAGUUGUGCUGUGACUCAGUUGUGGUGGCUGAGCAGUGUGGUAUGUUUCGUGUGCAUCAUCAUUUUUGGGUACUGAUUGUGAAGAGUUUGCGAGUCGUUGGGUCAGUGAUAACGAGAGAAAUUCAUGGCGACCUCUACAGCUGCUAUCUUGACUCUGCUGAAAUCCAUGAAUGGUGUUCCACUUUGGCAAAGGCAAAUGGCCUGCCUAGACUCUAGAGGAGGCCCCUCGCAAAAAAAAAAAAGACUCUAGAGGAGGCCGUUGUGCCCUGCCAAGAAGAAAGAGACGGCGUAUAAAAGGAAAUGUUCAUCAUUUUGAAUUUGACUUUGGAAGUUUCUGCUUCUGUGUGGAGUAAUUUUUCUAAGAGUCAUGGCAUGUAGCAGUGGUGUUGCUAGUAAAAUGAUCCUGGGCUACACCCUGCGCCAUGACACCAGGUCAGGUGAUUGAUGCCGGUGUUUGCCACUUCUUCUCCUUCCUCGUCAGUGGAUGGCCUCGUUGGGGUUGGGGUUGUCGCUGCUGCUGUCGGUGGCGCCGUCGCUCGCGCUGGCGGCAGGAGGCGUCGGCUGCGCACGGCUGGGCGGCGACGGCGCCGCGCCGGCGCCCCAUCCGUCCGGCUUGAAGCUGAACGGCAUGCCGCCCCCCGGGAUGCCUCCUGGCAUAGGCAUAGGCAUAGGCAUGCCGCCCCCCGGCAUGGGCAUGGCGGGCAUCCCGGGGAGGGCGGGCAAAGGCACGGGCAUGGCAGGGAUCGGCAUCCCGGGCAUGCCGCCGGGGUUCGGGAACAGCGGGAAGGACGGCAUCGUCGACGGCGGCAGCCACCACUUCAUGCUGCCGGUGCCUGUCCUUGCGGCGGCCGCGUCGCUCCCCGCCGUCGCCGGCCCCGGGGCAGGCCCGGGCGCGACCGUGGCGUCGUAGGACGCGCCGCGCCCCGGCUCGAACUCCACCCGGCUGAUCUCGUCCUCGUAGUCGUCCAAGGACGCGUCCUGCGGCGCGGUCUCGGUCGCCGCGGCCUCCAUGGAGCCGAAGGCGAACUCCCGGGCGUACUCCUCGUCGCCGACGCUGUCGUCGUGGAGGAGGCGCAUGCCGUGCCCCCACCCGGCGCAGGCCAGGAGCACGAGGAGGCCGAGGAAGACGGACGGCUUGCUCUGCUCCAUGGCUCGCUCUGCUCUCUGGCUCCUUGGCUGUUCUCGCCGGCGAGGUGGUGAGGAGGAGAGGAGUGGGCAACGCAGGUUUUAUAGCGAGGUAAUUUAGGAGCUUGGAGCUGGGGGUAGGUUGGAUCAUGGUGAGCUGCCCUGCACUCCGAUUUCUCAAUCAUCUCAUGGUUUUUUACAGCAGCUCAGGGUGCAUGCCGGAGGCGUGCAGCCGCAACACCACCUGAAAACUAACAACCUGGGUCAGCUUCUGCCUCCCAAAUCUGGUGCUUAAUCUGCACCCUUUGACCAGAUUUUUCGACAGAAUGCAAAAAAUUUGGGCAUGGACAGAAUGGAUGUGGAUCUCAAUCCCCGAAAAUAAAAUCGCGAUCACAAAUUUGGACCUGGCAGCGAGCAAUUCUUUUCUGACAAAGCACAACGAAUUUGAGCUCAACUUCCAGUAUAUGCAGACAACUUAUGGUCUCACCAAUUUUGUUGAGCAGCAUCCCACAAAUAAAUGGGAGAACAGACGCAUGCGUCGCGGUUGAAUUUAAACCAGCGUUCUGGUUCUGUUCAGGAAGCACCUGAGCACAAAUGCUCUCACAUGACAAUUGAGACACACUACAGGGCUGCAGCACACAAACUAGGCAGAAUAAUAGCAGGGAUUUCACUCGAUAAAUCAUGAGUGUCCAUCUGAUCUGAUCUAGUCUAC